This 486-nucleotide ribosomal RNA is filed under the name uncultured bacterium. RNAcentral describes it as "partial 16S ribosomal RNA". It matches the Rfam family "Bacterial small subunit ribosomal RNA", at positions 30 to 507 of the family's 1533-position model. The record is from RNAcentral.
AUUGAACGCUGGCGGCAUGCCUUACACAUGCAAGUCGAACGGCAGCACGGGUGCUUGCACCUGGUGGCGAGUGGCGAACGGGUGAGUAAUACAUCGGAACAUGUCCUGUAGUGGGGGAUAGCCCGGCGAAAGCCGGAUUAAUACCGCAUACGAUCUACGGAUGAAAGCGGGGGACCUUCGGGCCUCGCGCUAUAGGGUUGGCCGAUGGCUGAUUAGCUAGUUGGUGGGGUAAAGGCAUACCAAGGCGACGAUCAGUAGCUGGUCUGAGAGGACGACCAGCCACACUGGGACUGAGACACGGCCCAGACUCCUACGGGAGGCAGCAGUGGGGAAUUUUGGACAAUGGGCGAAAGCCUGAUCCAGCAAUGCCGCGUGUGUGAAGAAGGCCUUCGGGUUGUAAAGCACUUUUGUCCGGAAAGAAAUCCUUGGCUCUAAUACAGUCGGGGGAUGACGGUACCGGAAGAAUAAGCACCGGCUAACUACGUG